RNAcentral lists this ribosomal RNA (587 nucleotides) under uncultured bacterium. Its description in RNAcentral is "bacterial SSU rRNA". It matches the Rfam family "Bacterial small subunit ribosomal RNA", at positions 102 to 685 of the family's 1533-position model. The record is from RNAcentral.
ACGGGUGAGUAAUGCCUAGGAAUCUGCCUAGUAGUGGGGGACAACGUUUCGAAAGGAACGCUAAUACCGCAUACGUCCUACGGGAGAAAGUGGGGGAUCUUCGGACCUCACGCUAUUAGAUGAGCCUAGGUCGGAUUAGCUAGUUGGUAGGGUAAAGGCCUACCAAGGCGACGAUCCGUAACUGGUCUGAGAGGAUGAUCAGUCACACUGGAACUGAGACACGGUCCAGACUCCUACGGGAGGCAGCAGUGGGGAAUAUUGGACAAUGGGCGAAAGCCUGAUCCAGCCAUGCCGCGUGUGUGAAGAAGGCCUUCGGGUCGUAAAGCACUUUAAGUUGGGAGGAAGGGCUCAUAGCGAAUACCUGUGAGUUUUGACGUUACCAACAGAAUAAGCACCGGCUAACUUCGUGCCAGCAGCCGCGGUAAUACGAAGGGUGCAAGCGUUAAUCGGAAUUACUGGGCGUAAAGCGCGCGUAGGUGGCUUGAUAAGUUGGAUGUGAAAUCCCCGGGCUCAACCUGGGAACUGCAUCCAAAACUGUCUGGCUAGAGUGCGGUAGAGGGUAGUGGAAUUUCCAGUGUAGCGGUGAA